RNAcentral lists this transfer RNA (77 nucleotides) under bacterium. RNAcentral describes it as "tRNA-Ala". It matches the Rfam family "tRNA". Rfam says of the family: Transfer RNA (tRNA) molecules are approximately 80 nucleotides in length. Their secondary structure includes four short double-helical elements and three loops (D, anti-codon, and T loops). Further hydrogen bonds mediate the characteristic L-shaped molecular structure. tRNAs have two regions of fundamental functional importance: the anti-codon, which is responsible for specific mRNA codon recognition, and the 3' end, to which the tRNAs corresponding amino acid is attached (by aminoacyl-tRNA synthetases). tRNAs cope with the degeneracy of the genetic code in two manners: having more than one tRNA (with a specific anti-codon) for a particular amino acid; and 'wobble' base-pairing, i.e. permitting non-standard base-pairing at the 3rd anti-codon position. RNAcentral also lists the same sequence under 2 other names. The record is from RNAcentral.
GGGCCCAUAGCUCAGUUGGCUAGAGCGCCUCGAUGGCAUCGAGGAGGUCGUGGGUUCAAGUCCCACUGGGUCCACCA